Molecule: unclassified non-coding RNA, 354 nt
Filed under: Lactiplantibacillus plantarum
Lineage: Bacteria; Bacillati; Bacillota; Bacilli; Lactobacillales; Lactobacillaceae
Description: Lactobacillus plantarum cspA
Source: RNAcentral
UAGGGAUGUGAUAUACUUAAGCCACUUAACGCGUGGAACGUUAUGAUUGAUUGGCGCUCCCAAGGUUAACGAUGUUGUUACUGCAGUCAGUUCUGAGAGGACUUAUCUAAUAAUGAAGAAUGGUACAGUAAAAUGGUUCAAUGCGGAUAAAGGGUUUGGUUUUAUUACGGGUGAAGACGGUACCGAUGUCUUUGUUCAUUUUUCAGCGAUUCAAACUGAUGGCUUUAAAACCUUAGAUGAAGGUCAAAAAGUAACUUAUGAUGAAGAACAGGGCGAUCGUGGCCCCCAAGCAACGAACGUUCAACCACAAUAGUAACUGUUGGGCCGAACCAUUAUCAUUAACUGGUUCGGUUU